Molecule: ribosomal RNA, 633 nt
Filed under: Triticum aestivum (bread wheat)
Lineage: Eukaryota; Viridiplantae; Streptophyta; Magnoliopsida; Poales; Poaceae
Description: partial small subunit ribosomal RNA
Source: RNAcentral
AUGAUCCAGCCUACCCAGGUAUUUCUUGACUUGCUCGUGGGAUACUCUGCCAGCAACAGCACCAAAGGAAGAUUGACAGUGCAACAAGCUUCUCAAGAUGUAGAAAAUGUCGUUGAUGAGCCUGCUUCACCCACGGCUGCUCUGCUUCUCAACGGCGGGGGCACCACACUCCAUGCGGUUGCGAGCAACGGGGACAGCAAGAACUUCUUAGAGUGUGCUACUAUCAUCUGCAAAAGGGACCAAGACCUCCUGUUUGUGGCAAAUAAAAAGGGUGACACACCCUUGCAUUGUGUCACCAGAGCUGGUUACUUCCAAAUGCUCUCUUGCCUCGUUGAACUUGCUGAAAGUUGCAACAGGUUGCACGAGCUCUUGAGAAAGGAGAAUGUGCAUAAGGAAACAGCCUUGCACGAUGCUGUCCGCGUAGGAAAUGAGGAUAUUGUGGAACAUCUAUUGAAGGCUGAUCCUGAGUUGGCUAAUUAUCCUAAAGAAGGCACUUCACCAUUGUAUCUAGCAAUUUUACUGGGAAAACAUGGCAUUGCAAGGACAUUAUUAUAUGAUAAAAGCAAUGGGAAUCUCUCGUACUCCGGGCCAAAUGGGCAAAAUGCGCUACAUGCUGCAACUUUUCAAUGCUCA